RNAcentral lists this long non-coding RNA (265 nucleotides) under Nicotiana benthamiana. RNAcentral's name for it is "long non-coding RNA (NBEN_LNC001449)". Lineage: Eukaryota; Viridiplantae; Streptophyta; Magnoliopsida; Solanales; Solanaceae. The record is from RNAcentral.
UGCUUUUGAUGGACGAAUAUAGCCCAUGUCCAUCAACUCCUUCAGUUGCCUCCGUAAUUCCUAAAGCUCCGGAGGCGCCAUCCUAUAAGGCACGGUAGCUGGCGGGGUGGCACCUGGUUCCAGCUCUAUCUUAUGAUCCACCUUCCUUUUAGGUGGUAACCUCUUUGGUAGCUCCGGUGGCAUGACGUCUUGGAAGUCCUCAAAAACGUGCUGGACCUUGGGUGGCAUGGACUCGGUUGUAGGAAUGACAGCUUCUUCCUUUAAG